GCCCGGCUAGCUCAGUCGGUAGAGCAUGAGACUCUUAAUCUCAGGUUCGAGCCCCACGUUGGGCG
Molecule: non-coding RNA, 65 nt
Organism: Cordylochernes scorpioides
Lineage: Eukaryota; Metazoa; Arthropoda; Arachnida; Pseudoscorpiones; Chernetidae
Source: the annotation of a GenBank genome assembly